RNAcentral lists this ribosomal RNA (733 nucleotides) under uncultured eukaryote. Its description in RNAcentral is "SSU rRNA". It matches the Rfam family "Eukaryotic small subunit ribosomal RNA", at positions 667 to 1426 of the family's 1831-position model. The record is from RNAcentral.
GGCGUGUGUGCCGUGUCGUGUUUGUCAUCCUUCCAGAGAGCUGCGUCUACCAUUCACUUGGCCGGACGUACGCGAUCUGGAUCGAUUACUUUGAAAAAAUUAGAGUGUUUAAAGCAGGCUUACGCUGUGAAUACAUUAGCAUGGAAUAAUAAUUUAGGACUUCGGUUCUAUUUUGUUGGUUUCUAGGACUGAAGUAAUGAUUGAUAGGGACAGUUGGGGGUGCUAGUAUUCCGCGGCCAGAGGUGAAAUUCUUGGACUCGCGGAAGACUAACUACUGCGAAAGCAUUCACCAAGGAUGUCUUCUUUAAUCAAGAACGAAAGUUGGGGGAUCGAAGACGAUCAGAUACCGUCGUAGUCUCAACCAUAAACUAUACCGACUAAGGAUCAGUGAACGUUGAUUUACGACUUCAUUGGCACUUUGUGAGAAAUCAAAGUCUUUGGGUUCCGGGGGGAGUAUGGUCGCAAGGCUGAAACUUAAAGGAAUUGACGGAAGGGCACCACCAGGAGUGGAGCCUGCGGCUUAAUUUGACUCAACACGGGAAAACUCACCAGGUCCGGACAUAGUAAGGAUUGACAGAUUGAGAGCUCUUUCUUGAUUCUGUGGGUGGUGGUGCAUGGCCGUUCUUAGUUGGUGGAGCGAUUUGUCUGGUUAAUUCCGAUAACGAACGAGACCUUAACCUGCUAACUAGUUGCAGGUACUUUUGUAUCUGACACUUCUUAGAGGGACUGACUA